Long non-coding RNA from Entelurus aequoreus (snake pipefish), 149 nucleotides. RefSeq lists it as uncharacterized. The record is from RefSeq and is a predicted model, not a curated record. The transcript has 3 exons. NCBI's taxonomy places the organism in Eukaryota, Metazoa, Chordata, Actinopteri, Syngnathiformes, Syngnathidae.
GAAAAGGGGAUGGUGGGGCAUAAAGAAGAGUAGAAGAAGAAGGUGUGAAAUGCUGAGAAAAAAAUGAUGCGGUGUUGCCCGUCCGCCCCCGCCAUUUUCAUGACAAGCAGAUCUGAUGCCCAUUGUUGCGUCGAGCACUAAAGGGCCGG